RNAcentral lists this ribosomal RNA (391 nucleotides) under Chaetoceros sp. Its description in RNAcentral is "partial small subunit ribosomal RNA". It matches the Rfam family "Eukaryotic small subunit ribosomal RNA", at positions 582 to 975 of the family's 1831-position model. Lineage: Eukaryota; Bacillariophyta; Thalassiosirophyceae; Chaetocerotales; Chaetocerotaceae. The record is from RNAcentral.
AUUCCAGCUUCAGUAGCGUAUAUUAAAGUUGUUGCAGUUAAAAAGCUCGUAGUCGCAUUUCUGGCGAGAGGAAUUGGUCCGACAUUUAUUGUGGGUACUCGAUUCUCUCUCGCCAUCCUUGAGUGGUCCGUUCUGGCAUUUAGUUGUCGGAGCGUCAGCCGCUCAUCGUUUACUGUGAGAAAAUUAGAGUGUUCAAAGCAGGCUUAUGCCGUUGAAUAUAUUAGCAUGGAAUAAUAAGAUAGGACCUCGGUACUAUUUUGUUGGUUUGCGCACCAAGGUAAUGAUGAACAGGGACAGUUGGGGGUAUCUGUAUUUCGUUGUCAGAGGUGAAAUUCUUAGAUUUACGAAAGACAAACUACUGCGAAAGCAUUUACCAAGGAUGUUUUCAUCG